RNAcentral lists this ribosomal RNA (495 nucleotides) under uncultured bacterium. RNAcentral's name for it is "partial 16S ribosomal RNA". It matches the Rfam family "Bacterial small subunit ribosomal RNA", at positions 28 to 507 of the family's 1533-position model. The record is from RNAcentral.
GACGAACGCUGGCGGCGUGCCUAAUACAUGCAAGUAGAACGCUGAAGGAGGAGCUUGCUCUUCUGGAUGAGUUGCGAACGGGUGAGUAACGCGUAGGUAACCUGCCUGGUAGCGGGGGAUAACUAUUGGAAACGAUAGCUAAUACCGCAUAAGAGUAGAUGUUGCAUGACAUUUGCUUAAAAGGUGCAAUUGCAUCACUACCAGAUGGACCUGCGUUGUAUUAGCUAGUUGGUGGGGUAACGGCUCACCAAGGCGACGAUACAUAGCCGACCUGAGAGGGUGAUCGGCCACACUGGGACUGAGACACGGCCCAGACUCCUACGGGAGGCAGCAGUAGGGAAUCUUCGGCAAUGGACGGAAGUCUGACCGAGCAACGCCGCGUGAGUGAAGAAGGUUUUCGGACCGUAAAGAUCUGUUGUAAGAGAAGAACGAGUGUGAGAGUGGAAAGUUCACACUGUGACGGUAUCUUACCAGAAAGGGACGGCUAACUACGUG